RNAcentral lists this unclassified non-coding RNA (329 nucleotides) under soil metagenome. RNAcentral describes it as "partial contains 5.8S ribosomal RNA, internal transcribed spacer 2, and large subunit ribosomal RNA". The stretch from base 1 to 120 matches the Rfam family "5.8S ribosomal RNA", at positions 35 to 154 of the family's 154-position model. The record is from RNAcentral.
GAUGAAGAACGUAGCGAAAUGCGAUAAGUAAUGUGAAUUGCAGAAUUCAGUGAAUCAUCGAAUCUUUGAACGCACAUUGCGCCCCUUGGUAUUCCGAGGGGCAUGCCUGUUCGAGCGUCAUUAUAACCCCUCAAGCUCAGCUUGAUGUUGGGGCCUGCUGCACUGGCAGCCCUUAAAAUCAGUGGCGGCGCCAUCUGGCUCUAAGCGUAGUAAUUCUUCUCGCUAUGGAGUCCUGGUGGAUGCUUGCCAUCAACCCCCAAUUUUUCUAUGGUUGACCUCGGAUCAGGUAGGGAUACCCGCUGAACUUAAGCAUAUCAAUAAGCGGAGGA